GACGAACGCUGGCGGCGUGCUUAACACAUGCAAGUCGAACGGUGAGCCUCUUCUUUUGGGGUCAGUUGGAAAGGGGAGAGGGACAGUUAGACGACCUUCCCCCGCCUCUGAGUUAACUCCAAGAUAUUGAGACUAAGGCCAAAUCCUCACCGCUUCCCCCGUUGGUUGGUGGGAGUAGGAUUUGCGGCUGGGGAUGGGCCCGCGGCCUAUCAGCUUGUUGGUGGGGUAGUGGCCUACCAAGGCGACGACGGGUAGCCGGCCUGAGAGGGUGACCGGCCACAUUGGGACUGAGACACGGCCCAGACUCCUACGGGAGGCAGCAGUGGGGAAUAUUGCGCAAUGGGCGGAAGCCUGAUGCAGCGACGCCGCGUGGGGGAUGACGGCCUUCGGGUUGUAAACCGCUUUCAGCAGGGACGAAGCGCAAGUGACGGUAACUGCAGAAGAAGCACCGGCUAACUACGUG
This 463-nucleotide ribosomal RNA is filed under the name uncultured bacterium. RNAcentral's name for it is "partial 16S ribosomal RNA". It matches the Rfam family "Bacterial small subunit ribosomal RNA", at positions 28 to 507 of the family's 1533-position model. The record is from RNAcentral.